AUCCAAUCCUGAUUCAGGGAGGUAGUGAAAGAAAUAAUGAACUAGGAUUUAUCCUGGGGUCAGAAUGGGCUUGAUUUGCAAACUUUAUUUAGCGAGGAACAAUUGGAGGGCAAGUCUGGUGCCAGCAGCCGCGGUAAUUCCAGCUCCAAUAGUGUAUAUUAAUGUUCCUGCAGUUAUUCGAUGCUCGUAGUUGGAUUUCUGGAGGCUGAGACAGGAAGGCAGCCAAGGUUGUCGCCAGUCUCUUCCUUCAUCCACCUGUUAACGUUGUCCCGGGAUUCAUUUCUCGGCUUCNGGCUC
Molecule: ribosomal RNA, 297 nt
Filed under: uncultured marine ciliate
Lineage: Eukaryota; Ciliophora
Description: partial 18S ribosomal RNA
Rfam family: Eukaryotic small subunit ribosomal RNA
Source: RNAcentral